CCUACGGGAGGCAGCAGUGGGGAAUAUUGCACAAUGGGGGGAACCCUGAUGCAGCAACGCCGCGUGGGUGAAGAAGUACUCCGGUAUGUAAAGCUCUGUCAGCUGUGAAGAAAAUGACGGUAGCUGACGAAGAAGCUCCGGCUAACUACGUGCCAGCAGCCGCGGUAAUACGUAGGGAGCGAGCGUUCUCUGGAUUUACUGGGUGUAAAGGGAGCGUAGACGGCAUGGCAAGUCUGGAGUGAAAGCCCGUGGCCCAACCACGGGACUGCUUUUGAAACUGUGUUGCUGGAGUGCAGUAGAGGUAGGCGGAAUUCCUGGUGUAGCGGUGAAAUGCGUAGAGAUUGGGAGGAACACCAGUGGCGAAGGCGGCUUACUGGACUGUAACUGACGCUGAGGCUCGAAGGCGUGGGGAGCAAACAGGAUUAGAUACCCUUGUAGUC
This 440-nucleotide ribosomal RNA is filed under the name uncultured bacterium. RNAcentral's name for it is "partial 16S ribosomal RNA". It matches the Rfam family "Bacterial small subunit ribosomal RNA", at positions 338 to 795 of the family's 1533-position model. The record is from RNAcentral.